GGUCUUCUUGGCCUCUGUUUCCCGGAAGUGGUUUCCCUCCACCUCCUCAGGAGGGCCGGCCUUCCCUAAGGGCGGAGUCUAGGGCUUCUUUGGGACUGAAUAUGCAUUAGCUUUUGGAAGUCCAGCUUUGAUUUUCCCCUAAGCAUUGCUACAAAGGCCGGACUGCGGCUCUGGGCACCGUUCACAUCCUCGGCCGCCUUUGGCUUUGUGACCUUGGGCCGGUUGUAUAAGCUCUCUGAGCUUCCCAGGUGACUUCUCUGCAAAGUGGGCUGGUAACGCCCGAGUUGGUGCUAAAUCCUAAAGUUCAUGCUGCGAACCGGUCCCUCAACAGAUCAGCCUCUGUUUGGUCUGGUGGCAUGCCCCACAGGCUCCUGAGAGACGUGAGAAGCAGCUUUGUAUGGGAGCCACCUCUGCUCGCGUUUCCACCCAGAACCAAAGGACUGACCAUUCUUUCAAUCCCUAAGCGGUGUCUUUUCUAUCUAAUCCUAAUAACCAAGCCUGGAGGAAUUGCAGACUUUCUGGUUGAAGGUUCAACAGGUCUCCUCGUUUAAGGAUAGAGUAAGUCUCACUGAAGCUACAGAGGAGAAUCUGGAAAAUGCAAAUGUUACUACCUUAACCGAAAGAGGGAGGAGGGGGCGCUUUCCUAAAUGGCCUUUACCUUGGACCUUUUCUUUCUCCUGGCAUUUGGGCUGCCAGGGAUCUUGCUUCUGCCCCACCAACACACUGAAAGCAAGAGCUCUUGACGUGAUGACUAAGGAAAAGAAUUUGGUUUUCAUUUGGAGACAGCUGAUUCUGAAGCCAUCUUAAAGCCUAAGCAUAGCACAACUGCAUUCAUGAUUCUAUGAAUUCUUUCCUACCAUUGGAACUUAGGGAAGGGGAGAGGAAGUGUGCAUCUAGGAAAUGUGGAAGGACAAGCUCUUCGUUCUUUCAUCCUUCCGCUGCCUUCUAACUCUGUGGUCGAGUGUGGUCUUCCCAGGAGAGCAUCUUCCAGGAAACUUAUUAGAAAGGAAGAACCCCAGGCCUCAUUUCACAUCUGAAGCAGAGUCUGCCUUGUAGCCGACUCCUCAGCCAUUGCUAGGCAUGCUAAAGUUGACAAGGCCCUGGUUUAACUCCUGGGGUGGUCUGGUUUAAAGUGAUGAGAUGGCAUCAAAGAUGACGGAAGGACAGAGUCCACAGAGCCAGAAUUUGGGGCAGUGGAGGCAGAGCACCUAUUUCCUGCAUCUGGGCACUGCCAGCAGGUUGAUUCAGAAGAUGGGUGAAAAAUUUGUUCCUGGGGUAGCAGGAGGAGCACCACGACUUUGGAAUCUUUUGCUUAAAAGAAGGAUGAGCUCGGCUGUUCAUACCAUACAUCCCGGAGGUCUUCAGCAAGGUGAGGUUCCUCUGACCAAGAAGCCGGCUGCCCAGAUGCACUAAGCACGCCUCCCUCGCAUAUUCCGGUGCAUUGCUCCAUCAUAAGUGACUAGACAUAGUUCCAGUGCUACUCAGCAGGAUCUCAUUGUUCAUGCAUUCCAAAGGCAAGAGUCUGCAUCUCAAAAAAUCAAAUACCUGGGAAUACACCUGACCAAGGAGUUCCUGAGCAUUGACCACAAUAGCCCUUUCGGUGGUCCUGGUGGCAGCCGUCCAGCCAGUUCUGCUGUCGUCUUUCUCGUGUGUUCCCAGCUGACACUACGAUUCAGCUCAGAAAAAGCUGGUGUUCAUUUAGUGGGUUCUCUUAAUCGUCAACAUUGGAUGACCAAUAAAUCUGCUCAAUAACAGGAAAGGGUCCCCACCUGGCAGACCCUCCUCGCGCGUGGGCCGGUAACGUGAUUUAAAGCAGCCAAUCGCGUCCUCCCGUGAGAAAGGGGUGGAGCUUCGUGUCUUGUUGCCACAGAGCCGGCUUCUGCCAGCCUCGCAGGUUCACGCUGUUCCUAGCUGGGCUUCACGUGCUGGGAGCUGUCUUCCCCUCAAAUGUUUCUGGCUCCACGAGGAUGAGACUGAGAACCAAAGAAGAGGUGGUUUCUGCCUUCGGAACCCACAGCUGAGUGGAGGAUUCAGAUGGUGGAGGUGAAGGUGCUGGUGGAUGAUAUAUCAGAAGCGACACCCCGGAACAGAGACCGCCUGUGACUGGAGCCCCAUUCCUGGCUGAACUGUACUGGGAAGAGCAGACCUGAGCAAGAUCUCUGAGACUUGGCCUCUGGCUUGAAGGUUGGACCACGGUGAGACUGAGAAGGCGCUUCCUGGAGGCCCCCAUUGACUCUGAAAGUUUCCAGUCUGGAAGAAAGAGAGCAGGUCGCUGCAAGCACUGAGGAUGAAAAGCCUCUGGAAACAAGGAACCGCCAGGCUUGGUCAGUGCCCCACCUGGAGAACAAGACCAGGUAGGUGACAGAAAUGAAGGGCAUGUCUGCUGAAUGAAUGUAUAGACAAAAUCAGUCGGUGACCUUAUGGGAAAAGGAAUCUCCCAGGUUUUCCUCUGCAGCAGUUUACGGACUCGUGCUUUGGAACAGCGUUCUUCUCGCUCACCUGCAGAGAUGCAGUGUGCCGGCCGCACCUCGGCGUG
RNAcentral lists this long non-coding RNA (2536 nucleotides) under Sus scrofa (pig). RNAcentral describes it as "lncRNA (ENSSSCG00060056642.1)". The record is from RNAcentral. Lineage: Eukaryota; Metazoa; Chordata; Mammalia; Artiodactyla; Suidae.